This 53-nucleotide transfer RNA is filed under the name Pilea parietaria. Its description in RNAcentral is "partial tRNA-Leu". Lineage: Eukaryota; Viridiplantae; Streptophyta; Magnoliopsida; Rosales; Urticaceae. RNAcentral also lists the same sequence under 1 other name. The record is from RNAcentral.
AAUCCGUCGACUUUAAAGAUCGUGAGGGUUCAAGUCCCUCUAUCCCCAAAAAG